AUUGAACGCUGGCGGCAGGCCUAACACAUGCAAGUCGAGCGGAUGAAGGGAGCUUGCUCCUGGAUUCAGCGGCGGACGGGUGAGUAAUGCCUAGGAAUCUGCCUGGUAGUGGGGGAUAACGUCCGGAAACGGGCGCUAAUACCGCAUACGUCCUGAAGGAGAAAGUGGGGGAUCUUCGGACCUCACGCUAUCAGAUGAGCCUAGGUCGGAUUAGCUAGUUGGUGGGGUAAAGGCCUACCAAGGCGACGAUCCGUAACUGGUCUGAGAGGAUGAUCAGUCACACUGGAACUGAGACACGGUCCAGACUCCUACGGGAGGCAGCAGUGGGGAAUAUUGGACAAUGGGCGAAAGCCUGAUCCAGCCAUGCCGCGUGUGUGAAGAAGGUCUUCGGAUUGUAAAGCGCUUUAAGUUGGGAGGAAGGGCAGUAAGUUAAUACCUUGCUGUUUUGACGUUACCAACAGAAUAAGCACCGGCUAACUUCGUG
RNAcentral lists this ribosomal RNA (484 nucleotides) under uncultured bacterium. Its description in RNAcentral is "partial 16S ribosomal RNA". It matches the Rfam family "Bacterial small subunit ribosomal RNA", at positions 30 to 507 of the family's 1533-position model. The record is from RNAcentral.